RNAcentral lists this ribosomal RNA (465 nucleotides) under Vreelandella stevensii. Its description in RNAcentral is "partial 16S ribosomal RNA". It matches the Rfam family "Bacterial small subunit ribosomal RNA", at positions 338 to 795 of the family's 1533-position model. Lineage: Bacteria; Pseudomonadati; Pseudomonadota; Gammaproteobacteria; Oceanospirillales; Halomonadaceae. The record is from RNAcentral.
CCUACGGGUGGCAGCAGUGGGGAAUAUUGGACAAUGGGCGAAAGCCUGAUCCAGCCAUGCCGCGUGUGUGAAGAAGGCCUUCGGGUUGUAAAGCACUUUCAGUGGGGAAGAAAGCCUUGGGGCUAAUACCCUCGAGGAAGGACAUCACCCACAGAAGAAGCACCGGCUAACUCCGUGCCAGCAGCCGCGGUAAUACGGAGGGUGCGAGCGUUAAUCGGAAUUACUGGGCGUAAAGCGCGCGUAGGCGGUCUGAUAAGCCGGUUGUGAAAGCCCCGGGUUCAACCUGGGAACGGCAUCCGGAACUGUCAGGCUAGAGUGCAGGAGAGGAAGGUAGAAUUCCCGGUGUAGCGGUGAAAUGCGUAGAGAUCGGGAGGAAUACCAGUGGCGAAGGCGGCCUUCUGGACUGACACUGACGCUGAGGUGCGAAAGCGUGGGUAGCAAACAGGAUUAGAUACUCCAGUAGUC